This 539-nucleotide ribosomal RNA is filed under the name Salmonella enterica. RNAcentral describes it as "partial 23S ribosomal RNA". It matches the Rfam family "Bacterial large subunit ribosomal RNA", at positions 780 to 1315 of the family's 2925-position model. Lineage: Bacteria; Pseudomonadati; Pseudomonadota; Gammaproteobacteria; Enterobacterales; Enterobacteriaceae. The record is from RNAcentral.
CGACUAAUGUUGAAAAAUUAGCGGAUGACUUGUGGCUGGGGGUGAAAGGCCAAUCAAACCGGGAGAUAGCUGGUUCUCCCCGAAAGCUAUUUAGGUAGCGCCUCGUGAACUCAUCUUCGGGGGUAGAGCACUGUUUCGGCUAGGGGGUCAUCCCGACUUACCAACCCGAUGCAAACUGCGAAUACCGAAGAAUGUUAUCACGGGAGACACACGGCGGGUGCUAACGUCCGUCGUGAAGAGGGAAACAACCCAGACCGCCAGCUAAGGUCCCAAAGUCACAGUUAAGUGGGAAACGAUGUGGGAAGGCUCAGACAGCCAGGAUGUUGGCUUAGAAGCAGCCAUCAUUUAAAGAAAGCGUAAUAGCUCACUGGUCGAGUCGGCCUGCGCGGAAGAUGUAACGGGGCUAAACUGUGCACCGAAGCUGCGGCAGCGACGCUUAUGCGUUGUUGGGUAGGGGAGCGUUCUGUAAGCCUGCGAAGGUGUCCUGUGAGGGAUGCUGGAGGUAUCAGAAGUGCGAAUGCUGACAUAAGUAACGAUAA